RNAcentral lists this ribosomal RNA (293 nucleotides) under uncultured bacterium. Its description in RNAcentral is "partial 16S ribosomal RNA". It matches the Rfam family "Bacterial small subunit ribosomal RNA", at positions 505 to 796 of the family's 1533-position model. The record is from RNAcentral.
GUGCCAGCCGCCGCGGUAAUACGGAGGGGGCAAGCGUUGUUCGGAUUUACUGGGCGUAAAGGGUCCGUAGGCGGUUGUGUAAGUCUGGUGUGAAAUCUUCGCCGCUUAACGGGAAGCAGCCACUGGAAACUGCAUAACUUGAGUCUGGUAGAGGCAAGCGGAAUUCCUGGUGUAGCGGUGGAAUGUGUAGAUAUCAGGAAGAACAUCUGUGGCGAAGGCGGCUUGCUGGGCCAGUACUGACGCUGAGGGACGAAAGCGUGGGGAGCAAACGGGAUUAGAUACCCUCGUAGUCC